Molecule: ribosomal RNA, 658 nt
Filed under: uncultured bacterium
Lineage: Bacteria
Description: bacterial SSU rRNA
Rfam family: Bacterial small subunit ribosomal RNA
Source: RNAcentral
AUGCAAGUCGAGGGGCAGCAUCAUCAAAGCUUGCUUUGAUGGAUGGCGACCGGCGCACGGGUAAGUAACACGUAUCCAACCUGCCGACAACACUGGGAUAGCCUUUCGAAAGAAAGAUUAAUACCGGAUGGCAUAAUUAUUCCGCAUGGGAUAAUUAUUAAAGAAUUUCGGUUGUCGAUGGGGAUGCGUUCCAUUAGGCAGUUGGCGGGGUAACGGCCCACCAAACCUACGAUGGAUAGGGGUUCUGAGAGGAAGGUCCCCCACAUUGGAACUGAGACACGGUCCAAACUCCUACGGGAGGCAGCAGUGAGGAAUAUUGGUCAAUGGACGAGAGUCUGAACCAGCCAAGUAGCGUGAAGGAUGACUGCCCUAUGGGUUGUAAACUUCUUUUAUACGGGAAUAAAGUGAGCCACGUGUGGCUUUUUGUAUGUACCGUAUGAAUAAGGAUCGGCUAACUCCGUGCCAGCAGCCGCGGUAAUACGGAGGAUCCGAGCGUUAUCCGGAUUUAUUGGGUUUAAAGGGAGCGUAGGCGGGUUGUUAAGUCAGUUGUGAAAGUUUGCGGCUCAACCGUAAAAUUGCAGUUGAUACUGGCGACCUUGAGUGCAACAGAGGUAGGCGGAAUUCGUGGUGUAGCGGUGAAAUGCUUAGAUAUCACGAA